ACUCAAAAAACGGAUCUAAGUCCCACUUGAAGCGCUUAAUUAGUUUACCAAAACAAUCAUUUAGACUUCAAUGUAAUUCAAAUAAGGUACAGCCUAUUUGAAACAGGAAACAACCUAAACUGAUGGAUAAAACAGCUUUAUUAACAACUUAGUAGGCCUAAAAGCAGCCAUCUAUUAAAUAGCGUCAAAGCUUAAUUGUUUUAUUGCUUAAUUUCACAAACAUUAUUUUAAUCCUCCAUCCCCAUUGAGUAAUUCUAUAACAUUAUAGAAAAUUUUAUGUUAAAACUAGUAACAAGAAGAAGACCUUCUCUUAAAUGUAAGUGUUGAUCAGAAAGGACAAACCACUGAUAUUUAUCAUCAUUGAACCAAAAAUAGUAACUCAUCAAGAAAACACUAUUUUUAUUUAUGUUAACCUAACACAAGAACAUUAUAAGAAAGAUUUAAAGAAAAAGAAGGAACUCGGCAAAUAUUAACCUCGCCUGUUUACCAAAAACAUCGCCUCUUGAGCUUUAUAAGAGGUCCAGCCUGCCCAGUGACUCUGUUCAACGGCCGCGGUAUCCUAACCGUGCGAAGGUAGCGUAAUCACUUGUUCUUUAAAUGUGGACUAGUAUGAAUGGCACUACGAGGGUUACACUGUCUCCUUUCUCUAAUCAGUGAAACUAAUUUUCCCGUGAAGAAGCGGGAAUACACCUAUAAGACGAGAAGACCCUAUGGAGCUUUAAACAAUCAGCAAUUACUUUUUAAAUUAAAAAUUUCAGAAUAUUCAUUUUUUAAGUAGCGUGACUGCAAGUUUUCGGUUGGGGUGACCAUGGAGAAUAACACAACCUCCACAUUGAACGAAUUUCAUUCUAAGCUAAAAAUUACUUAUUAAAGCAUCAACACACUGACAUCUAUUGACCCAAUAUAUUUGAUCAACGAACCAAGUUACCCUAGGGAUAACAGCGCAAUCCACUUUAAGAGCCCUUAUCGACAAGUGGGUUUACGACCUCGAUGUUGGAUCAGGGUAUCCCAGUGGCGCAGCCGCUACUAAAGGUUCGUUUGUUCAACGAUUAAAACCCU
Molecule: ribosomal RNA, 1059 nt
Filed under: Rhinella acutirostris
Lineage: Eukaryota; Metazoa; Chordata; Amphibia; Anura; Bufonidae
Description: partial 16S ribosomal RNA
Rfam family: Bacterial large subunit ribosomal RNA
Source: RNAcentral